RNAcentral lists this small nucleolar RNA (136 nucleotides) under Phaseolus vulgaris (common bean). RNAcentral describes it as "snoRNA snoR134". It matches the Rfam family "small nucleolar RNA snoR134". Lineage: Eukaryota; Viridiplantae; Streptophyta; Magnoliopsida; Fabales; Fabaceae. The record is from Rfam by way of RNAcentral.
CCGCACGGUGCCUCCCGGGCAGCUCUGAAUCCACAUGACGUGAACGCCCCGAUGCACGUGCGAAAUCAUCGCCGUUCGUGUUGCAGUUCAUCCCAAUUUUCCACGGUUGAUCUGUGUCAAAGUAACGGCAAAAUUC